This is a long non-coding RNA of Apis cerana (Asiatic honeybee), 3434 nucleotides long. RefSeq lists it as uncharacterized. The record is from RefSeq and is a predicted model, not a curated record. NCBI's taxonomy places the organism in Eukaryota, Metazoa, Arthropoda, Insecta, Hymenoptera, Apidae.
UAAAAAUUGACAAUCUAAUCAAGUAAUGUGAAAGAAAAUAAGAUUAAAAUUAUAACGAAUGAUGGAUUUAUAAUACAAGACAUCGAAUUGAUCGAUCUUUUGUAAAAAAGAAAAGUUGAAUUCCAUUAAUAGGACACAUCAGGCUCAAGUGUUUCUUCGCUACAUAAAAGCGUCACUUUUUCUGCGACACGAAGCACAAAGGAAAAGAAGAAAAAUGUCGGACGUUUAAAAACGCUUACGGCUGAUCCCCGUCUGCUCGGUUUCCCAAAGACACGCUCUUUGAGCAUUUGAUGCCUUCAUCCUUCUUAUUUCCUUGUGACGCAUAAUUUAUUUGAUACCACCUUUUCUCGUGGCUUCUGUUCAAAUCGUUCAAAUAUUUGUCUCCUUUUCUUUUUUUUUUAUCUUUCACCUGUUCAAAUUCUAUCGUUCUCUCUUCGAUUUUACUUUUAACAAUUAACAUGAAUUCAUGCUUCGUUGUAUAAAUCGAACAAUUUGAAAUAAUUAAUCUUUUAAUCUUUGCUCUUUUAUUAUAAAAUUAAUAUUCGUCACAAUGAAUGACAAUCAAAAAUUCUUAAUAAAGAUAUUUAAAUUAAUGAAAAUUAAAAAAUUUAAUUUUAGAAUUAAUAAUGAUUGCGUAAUUGGAGCAUAGAAUAAAAUUGAAGAAUUGAAAAUGUAUAUCGUACGAUGAAUAUUUCCAUAUUGAAUUGGUGAAUUUAAAAUUUAAAAAAUUCAUGCUGAAUCGCGUUUCGAGAGUUUAUUCUUCGCGUUAUAUCGAAUAUAUACGAAUGUAUUCUUCACAGAUUAAAACGAUAUAAAAAACAAAGUUUUUAAAAAGGAAGUACAAUGCAAAUAUUUGUGGAAAGAGAUGUGUCGCGAUUUUUUAUAUCAAAAAAAUCAAAAUUUUAUAAUUCUUCAUUAAUUUCGAAUCAUUUCCUUCUAUAAAUUAAUAUCUCUAUGUUUAUUCUUCUCUAGAUUAUUGAUUAUAAAUGGAUAUAAAUUUUUUUUCUUCUAUUUCAUACUUAUUUUUUUUUUUUGUAAUAUUCAAUUAAUGCAAUUCUUAUAUAAAAGAAGAAAUUAAAAAUUAAUGAUAAUUUUUUUUUCUAGGUUUGAAGAAUAUGGCAAUAUGUAUUUAAUUGACAAUAUGUAAUUAUAUUUAAAAAAGUACUAAAAAUCAUUUAAGAAUGAAAGAAAUGAUUUCUUAAAAAUCAUUGCUAUUCAGAAAUUGAUAGAAUAAAAGAUAUGAACAUGUGUUUUAUAUAUAUAUAUAUAUAUAGUUUUGAAAGAUUAUAGAUACAAAAAAAGAUAAAAUGAUAUGAAUAAGAUUUAUUUUUCAAUUAUAAGCAAUUUAAUAUCUUAAUAAACAAAAACAUAAUAACUAGUAUAUAGCUAUAUUCAGUGUGCUAAGCAGAGAACAUAUAUAGUAUCACGUACCAAAGCUUUUCAAUUAAAAAUUUUUGAAAAGAUAUAUCUAUUUAUUAUUAUUAUCAUUAUUGUUCUAAUUGCCAUUGAAAUUAUUUCAAAGAUUGAAAAUAACAAAUUAAAUAUUUUAAAAUUCAGAUAUUAUAUAUAUUAAAGAAAAUGUGAUAUUUAUGUUGAGCUAUAGUUAAAUAGAAAAACAUGUAUAAUGACUUACAUUACAAAAUAUGUGUAUUCUAUUUCAUGACUCUGUUAAUCUUGUAUGAAUGUAAUAUCCACAUGAGAUCAUUCACUUUUUGCUCAAGGAUAAAACAAUGAUUUUUUUUAUUAUCAUUCAAAUGAUUCAUAUAUCAAAAUAAAAAAAUCUUCAUAUAUUAUACUUUAAAAUAAUUUAAAAUAUUCAUAUUCAUAUACUAUUUUAAAAAAAAAAUAUUGAAAAUAAUGUUUAGAAGCUUUUUUAAAAAAAAAAAUCUUUCAAUUUUAAAUAAAAUAUCGUAUAGAAGAAAAAUAAUAUCUGAUUAAAUUCCUAUAUUAAAUUCAUUUCUUAAAUAAUUCUUCAAAACAUAUUCAAAAUCUUUUUAUUUCAAAAAAACGUAUAAAAAUAUAAUUUUUACAAUUUUAACUUUAAUUUUUUAUUUUUCUCUUUACAAUUUUCAACAAAACAAUUGACGUUAAAUUUCUUUCUAACCAUCAAUUGUCACGCAAAGAUAUUAUAAAUUUCACUUAUGAAAGUAAAUGGAAAAAAAUAUUCCAUCUCGAUAUACGAUAUUGUACAAUCUAUAUCAUGAACUGUAUCAUUGAAAUUAUCCAUGAGAAACACUUUCAUACGAAUAAAUCUAAAUGCAGUGAGAAAUUGAAAUUGUGUUCGGUGGUGAUGAUGCACUUUCGCGCGACACGCGAUGGAAAUUGAGCGUGUAAAAUAUCUUGCUCUUGAGUUACAAAUACUGCGAAAAGGAAAUUGCAAACGUCUUGGAGGUUAGCCCCCUCUGUCUGUCUGCGCGAUUUCUCGCGAAUUUCUAAUCGACGUGGAUCCGCUCGAUUUAUCGAUAGUUGUUGUCGAUAAACUCUCGGUCGAUGAACUCUUUCAUCGCACGCCCGGCUUAAAUGGAUGCCAAUCCAUUAAUUUUCCGCCACUAUCGAAAUGUGGUAAUGACAAAAUUAUUUUAAAGCAAUUUAUUAAAUAAAAAAAUUAAAUUUUUUAUUAGAUUUAUUCUUUAUUUUCGUUAUUUUUAUUCAUGAUGAAAGAUGAAAAAUGUAUUUGAAAUUUUAAUUAAAUUUGUUGAUGGAUUAUUAUUCAAUAAUAUUGAUAAUUUUUAUUCAUAAAGCAAAUUGAUCGGCUUCUUUAUCGGUUAGAGGACAUUAAUCGAUCCGUGCCUCUCAUUUCCAAUUAUCAUUUUAUUGGUAACUUUGAAGUGAAUAUUAAAAAAAGAAUAAAAUAUUUUAUUAUUUUUCUGUGUUAUUUAAAUAUUCAUGUAUUAUUAAUUAUUUUUCUUAUUAACUAUUACAUACAACUAUUACAUAACAAAUAAAAAUUAGUUAGGAUUGAUUUUAUUUAUACUAAUAAAAUAAUAUUUGAUCAUCUUAAGAUAAAUGUAUAUAUAAGUUUAAUCACUUUCAAAGAGUAAUCCUUCAAAUAUUGAACAUUUAAUGGCAUCAUAUAUAGAUCAGACAAGAUCUAAAAAAUCGUUCGAUGAUACAUUUCGAAAUUUUAAUUAUAAAUUAAUGUUUGUGCAAUAUGUAAAUUAAACAAACCCAUUCCUGUAUUGUUACAUGAAAUCUACUACUACCUUUCGUGUACAUAAUUUAUAUUAAUUUAUAUAGAGACAUGUGUAAAUAUUUACCUUGUUCCAUUUAAUUUCGAUUCUUGGUCUACUUUCAACUCUUGGAUUGUUUGAGCAGAAAAUGUUGCGUGUAUUUAUUUCGAUUGUUAAGUAAUCGUUUGAAGUAAUUUCAUUAAUAAAAGAAAUGUAUAGUAAAUAAUGAUAAUAAAAAUAUUUUAAUAAAUUUUUAAAAAAAAA